RNAcentral lists this ribosomal RNA (465 nucleotides) under uncultured bacterium. RNAcentral's name for it is "partial 16S ribosomal RNA". It matches the Rfam family "Bacterial small subunit ribosomal RNA", at positions 28 to 507 of the family's 1533-position model. The record is from RNAcentral.
GAUGAACGCUGGCGGCGUGCUUAACACAUGCAAGUCGAACGGAAAGGCUCCUGCUUGCAGGGGUACUCGAGUGGCGAACGGGUGAGUAACACGUGGGUGAUCUGCCCUGCACUUCGGGAUAAGCCUGGGAAACUGGGUCUAAUACCGGAUAGGACGAUGGUUUGGAUGCCAUUGUGGAAAGUUUUUCGGUGUGGGAUGAGCUCGCGGCCUAUCAGCUUGUUGGUGGGUUAAUGGCCUACCAAGGCGUCGACGGGUAGCCGGCCUGAGAGGGUGUACGGUCACAUUGGGACUGAGAUACGGCCCAGACGCCUACGGGAGGCAGCAGUGGGGAAUAUUGCACAAUGGGCGCAAGCCUGAUGCAGCGACGCCGCGUGGGGGAUGACGGUCUUCGGGUUGUAAACUCCUUUCGCUAGGGACGAAGCGCAAGUGACGGUACCUGGAGAAGAAGCACCGGCUAACUACGUG